This 92-nucleotide signal recognition particle RNA is filed under the name Planctomycetota bacterium. Its description in RNAcentral is "signal recognition particle sRNA small type". It matches the Rfam family "Bacterial small signal recognition particle RNA". From Rfam's summary of the family: The signal recognition particle (SRP) is a universally conserved ribonucleoprotein involved in the co-translational targeting of proteins to membranes. Lineage: Bacteria; Pseudomonadati; Planctomycetota. The record is from RNAcentral.
AGACGGGUCCGGCACGGCGGCGGGCCGUGAAACUGGUCAGGCCGAAAGGAGCAGCCAUAAGCGGAUACCGCCGGGCGUGCCAUCCGGCCUUU